Molecule: ribosomal RNA, 694 nt
Filed under: Microbacterium lacus
Lineage: Bacteria; Bacillati; Actinomycetota; Actinomycetes; Micrococcales; Microbacteriaceae
Description: bacterial SSU rRNA
Rfam family: Bacterial small subunit ribosomal RNA
Source: RNAcentral
UAGAGUUUGAUCCUGGCUCAGGAUGAACGCUGGCGGCGUGCUUAACACAUGCAAGUCGAACGGUGAAAGAGAGCUUGCUCUCUGGAUCAGUGGCGAACGGGUGAGUAACACGUGAGCAAUCUGCCCCUGACUCUGGGAUAAGCGCUGGAAACGGCGUCUAAUACCGGAUACGAGCUGCGAAGGCAUCUUCAGCAGCUGGAAAGAACUUCGGUCAGGGAUGAGCUCGCGGCCUAUCAGCUAGUUGGUGAGGUAAUGGCUCACCAAGGCGUCGACGGGUAGCCGGCCUGAGAGGGUGACCGGCCACACUGGGACUGAGACACGGCCCAGACUCCUACGGGAGGCAGCAGUGGGGAAUAUUGCACAAUGGGCGCAAGCCUGAUGCAGCAACGCCGCGUGAGGGACGACGGCCUUCGGGUUGUAAACCUCUUUUAGCAGGGAAGAAGCGAAAGUGACGGUACCUGCAGAAAAAGCACCGGCUAACUACGUGCCAGCAGCCGCGGUAAUACGUAGGGUGCAAGCGUUAUCCGGAAUUAUUGGGCGUAAAGAGCUCGUAGGCGGUUUGUCGCGUCUGCUGUGAAAACUGGGGGCUCAACCCCCAGCCUGCAGUGGGUACGGGCAGACUAGAGUGCGGUAGGGGAGAUUGGAAUUCCUGGUGUAGCGGUGGAAUGCGCAGAUAUCAGGAGGAACACCGAGA